GACGAACGCUGGCGGCGUGCCUAAUACAUGCAAGUUGAGCGAUGAAGCUUGGUGCUUGCACCAAUUUGAAGAGCAGCGAACGGGUGAGUAACGCGUGGGGAAUCUGCCUUUGAGCGGGGGACAACAUUUGGAAACGAAUGCUAAUACCGCAUAACAACUUUAAACAUAAGUUUUAAGUUUGAAAGAUGCAAUUGCAUCACUCAAAGAUGAUCCCGCGUUGUAUUAGCUAGUUGGUGAGGUAAAGGCUCACCAAGGCGAUGAUACAUAGCCGACCUGAGAGGGUGAUCGGCCACAUUGGGACUGAGACACGGCCCAAACUCCUACGGGAGGCAGCAGUAGGGAAUCUUCGGCAAUGGACGAAAGUCUGGCCGAGCAACGCCGCGUGAGUGAAGAAGGUUGUCGGAUCGUAAAACUCUGUUGGUAGAGAAGAACGUUGGUGAGAGUGGAAAGCUCAUCAAGUGACGGUAACUACCCAGAAAGGGACGGCUAACUACGUG
Molecule: ribosomal RNA, 497 nt
Filed under: uncultured bacterium
Lineage: Bacteria
Description: partial 16S ribosomal RNA
Rfam family: Bacterial small subunit ribosomal RNA
Source: RNAcentral